UACGAAGGGGGCAAGCGUUACUCGGAAUUACUGGGCGUAAAGCGUGCGUAGGCGGUUUGUUAAGUCUGAUGUGAAAUCCCCGGGCUCAACCUGGGAAUGGCAUUGGAUACUGGCAGGCUAGAGUGCGGUAGAGGGUGGUGGAAUUCCCGGUGUAGCAGUGAAAUGCGUAGAGAUCGGGAGGAACAUCUGUGGCGAAGGCGGCCGCCUGGACCAGCACUGACACUGAGGCACGAAAGCGUGGGGAGCAAACAGG
Molecule: ribosomal RNA, 253 nt
Filed under: uncultured bacterium
Lineage: Bacteria
Description: partial 16S ribosomal RNA
Rfam family: Bacterial small subunit ribosomal RNA
Source: RNAcentral